This is a non-coding RNA of Peromyscus maniculatus bairdii (prairie deer mouse), 2184 nucleotides long. NCBI's taxonomy places the organism in Eukaryota, Metazoa, Chordata, Mammalia, Rodentia, Cricetidae. The record is from RefSeq and is a predicted model, not a curated record.
AAAGAAAGGACUGUUGAACCUUGCCAAGACAAGGUCAUCGUCAUCAGCUGUAAUCAGUGCAAUCUAAAUUUUAGAUGAUGCUGCCUGAGUUUCGAAGGAAGCUUUGCCCGGUUAUGGCUUUGCUCUAGUGAAAUUCACUGAAUUCCAGCACUUGCAAGUAGACAGCAAGUCCUGACGGCUUCAUCUGAUCUCAUAAGUGUACACUGUUCCUUCUUUUGAACCAUUUUAACUUUCACUUUUAGACUCUUCAGCACCAGAGCAAAGAUUUUUUUCAACUUUUCAUGACUCAUAGUAAAUGUUGGAAACCUAAUAAGUUCAUAUACAGUUAUCUAUCUUUUGUUCUAUAUGCUAUUUAACAACUGUUUUUGUUUCCUUUCUAAUUUGUGAACAUUGUAUAGUUGUAGAAUAUUUUAACUAUGUAAAGAUGUGUUACAUUUGUUUAUGCCUUGGAAUAUUACUUUGUGUAAAGGAACGUUACAUUUGUUUAUGCUGCAUUUGUUUAACUAUUAAGGAUGUGUGUUUCAUUAUGUAAAGAUGUGUUGCAUUUAUUUCACCUUGCCUGCCUAAGGCACCUGAUUCAUCUAAUGAAGACCUGAAUGGCCAAUAAUAGCUAGGUAGACAGAGAAUAGGCAUGGCUGGCAGGCAGAGAGAAUAAGUAGGAGGAGAAAUCUAGACUCAAAAAGAAUGGGAGAGAGAGAAGAGGAAGAGAACAAGGAGAAAAAGGAGGGCAUACCCAAGGCAAGAAGACAGGCAGCCACUAGCAGGCCAGACAUGAGAAUCAGUGAAACAAAGAGGGAAAGAAAAAGGGAAAGAAAGGAAGAAAGAAAGAAAGAAAGAAAGAUAGAAAGGAAGCAAAAAGCCCAAGGCAAAAGGCAGAUAAAGAGAAACAGGUUAACUUAAGUUAAAAAAAAAAAACUAGCCAGAAAUGAGCUAAGCAUUCAUAACUAAUAAGAAAUCUCCAUGUCAUGAUUUAGGAGCUGGUUGGGGGCCCAAAAGUAAAACCCUGGUACAUUUGGCACCCAACUUGGGGCCCAAAUUUCCACAUAGGGUCUGAGAAAGCUUAAAAAGAUACGGCUUCUUUAAGAGUCUCUACCUUACAGCAGAGCAUUUAAAGAGCCUUUUUCAUGCAGAAACAGCAAGCUAAGUAAAAAUGCCUGCUGCAGCACGUCACAGGUAUUCCAGAACUGAGGGGUUGAAUGCAGUUCCCAGCCACACACCUCUGGACAGGUCUGCAAGCUUAAGGCUGGGCUCUCACAAACCCCAAAGCUGCAGCAGAAAACCCAGCAGUAGCUUAGUAGUUUUAUAUUUUACCCAUGCAGACAGAAAAGGCUAGAGAUAUGUAUAAAAGUAGGUUCCAUUGGACAAAACCUCUAAGCAGGUUACAUCGUGUUUUAAAAUGUGCAUACGCUUAAGAAAGAAAAGAAAAUAGAUAUAGACAAUCAUAGAAACAAGUAUACAGUUUAUAAAUAAUAAUAAAGAACAAGCUACAUAGACAUAGGAAAUACACAGCAAUCCUAGAUUGCUAUGGAAUGAUCCUCUUGUACACUGUAAUAUUUGUCACUUGAGUUAGUUUAAUAAAAUGCUGAUUGGCCAGUAGCCAGGCAGGGGGUAUAGGUAGGGCAAACAAACUAUGAAUGCUCAGAUGAAGGAAGGUGGAGUCAAGGAAGCAAGAUGAGAAUGUCAUUUUGAGAAAAGUUACCAAGCCAUGUGGCCAAACAUAGAUAAGAAUUGUGGAUUAAUUUAAAUGUAAGAGCUAGUUAGCAAUAAGCCUGAGCUACCAACUGAGCAUUUACAAGUAAUAUUAAACCUCUGAGUCAAUUAUUUGGGAACAGGUAGGUCAGAGAGAAACUUCUGCCUACACUGGAUCCUGUAUAGUGUUGUGCUGUCUUUGGAUGUUUUGAAUGCUGAUGAGAAAAUGGCAGUUGCCAAUCAACAUGGAAUUGUAACAGGGACUGCUAAAUUAAAUCAGCCUAGAUGCUUUAGGAAUGCUUUAACUUUAAAAUGGAAUUCAAAAAAUUUAUUGUUUUGGGGAAGAAGUAAUGCUUUUGUUUCCACAGGAAACAAAAGGCUAUGGGUUCAUUCAAGGUUGAUAAAGAUCAGGUUUGAUUGGGGAAGAUUCUCUGAAAAUCCAGGCUACAGAUAUAAAGAAAUAAACCUAGAAAAAGUACAAUACAGCUGAUGUAU